AGUGAACGCUGGCGGUAGGCCUAACACAUGCAAGUCGAACGGCAGCACAGUAAGAGCUUGCUCUUACGGGUGGCGAGUGGCGGACGGGUGAGGAAUACAUCGGAAUCUACUUUUUCGUGGGGGAUAACGUAGGGAAACUUACGCUAAUACCGCAUACGACCUACGGGUGAAAGCAGGGGAUCUUCGGACCUUGCGCGAUUGAAUGAGCCGAUGUCGGAUUAGCUAGUUGGCGGGGUAAAGGCCCACCAAGGCGACGAUCCGUAGCUGGUCUGAGAGGAUGAUCAGCCACACAGGAACUGAGACACGGUCCAGACUCAUACGGGAGGCAGCAGUGGGGAAUAUGGGACAAUGGGCGCAAGCCUGAUCCAGCCAUACCGCGUGGGUGAAGAAGGCCUUCGGGUUGUAAAGCCCUUUUGUUGGGAAAGAAAAGCAGCAGGUUAAUACCCCGCUGUUCUGACGGUACCCAAAGAAUAAGCACCGGCGAACUGCGU
RNAcentral lists this ribosomal RNA (491 nucleotides) under uncultured bacterium. RNAcentral's name for it is "partial 16S ribosomal RNA". It matches the Rfam family "Bacterial small subunit ribosomal RNA", at positions 29 to 506 of the family's 1533-position model. The record is from RNAcentral.